GACGAACGCUGGCGGCGUGCCUAAUACAUGCAAGUUGAGCGCUGAAGGUUGGUACUUGUACCGACUGGAUGAGCAGCGAACGGGUGAGUAACGCGUGGGGAAUCUGCCUUUGAGCGGGGGACAACAUUUGGAAACGAAUGCUAAUACCGCAUAAAAACUUUAAACACAAGUUUUAAGUUUGAAAGAUGCAAUUGCAUCACUCAAAGAUGAUCCCGCGUUGUAUUAGCUAGUUGGUGAGGUAAAGGCUCACCAAGGCGAUGAUACAUAGCCGACCUGAGAGGGUGAUCGGCCACAUUGGGACUGAGACACGGCCCAAACUCCUACGGGAGGCAGCAGUAGGGAAUCUUCGGCAAUGGACGAAGGUCUGACCGAGCAACGCCGCGGGAGUGAAGAAGGGUUUCGGAUCGUAAAACUCGGUUGGUAGAGAAGAACGUUGGUGAGAGUGGAAAGCUCAUCAAGUGACGGUAACUACCCAGAAAGGGACGGCUAACUACGUG
This 497-nucleotide ribosomal RNA is filed under the name uncultured bacterium. RNAcentral's name for it is "partial 16S ribosomal RNA". It matches the Rfam family "Bacterial small subunit ribosomal RNA", at positions 28 to 507 of the family's 1533-position model. The record is from RNAcentral.